RNAcentral lists this ribosomal RNA (496 nucleotides) under uncultured bacterium. RNAcentral's name for it is "partial 16S ribosomal RNA". It matches the Rfam family "Bacterial small subunit ribosomal RNA", at positions 29 to 507 of the family's 1533-position model. The record is from RNAcentral.
AUGAACGCUGGCGGCGUGCCUAAUACAUGCAAGUCGAGCGAACAGAUAAGGAGCUUGCUCCUUUGACGUUAGCGGCGGACGGGUGAGUAACACGUGGGUAACCUACCUAUAAGACUGGAAUAACUCCGGGAAACCGGGGCUAAUGCCGGAUAACAUUUAGAACCGCAUGGUUCUAAAGUGAAAGAUGGUUUUACUAUCACUUAUAGAUGGACCCGCGCCGUAUUAGCUAGUUGGUAAGGUAACGGCUUACCAAGGCAACGAUACGUAGCCGACCUGAGAGGGUGAUCGGCCACACUGGAACUGAGACACGGUCCAGACUCCUACGGGAGGCAGCAGUAGGGAAUCUUCCGCAAUGGGCGAAAGCCUGACGGAGCAACGCCGCGUGAGUGAUGAAGGUCUUCGGAUCGUAAAACUCUGUUAUUAGGGAAGAACAAAUGUGUAAGUAACUGUGCACGUCUUGACGGUACCUAAUCAGAAAGCCACGGCUAACUACGUG